This 710-nucleotide ribosomal RNA is filed under the name bacterium MI-10. RNAcentral describes it as "bacterial SSU rRNA". It matches the Rfam family "Bacterial small subunit ribosomal RNA", at positions 182 to 894 of the family's 1533-position model. The record is from RNAcentral.
GAAGUGGCAUCACUUUAUUAUUAUAACUCCGGUGGUUUUGGAUGGGCGUGCGACUGAUUAGGUAGUUGGCGGGGUAACGGCCCACCAAGCCUGCGAUCAGUAACUGGUGUGAGAGCACGACCAGUCACACGGGCACUGAGACACGGGCCCGACUCCUACGGGAGGCAGCAGUAAGGAAUAUUGGUCAAUGGACGAAAGUCUGAACCAGCCAUGCCGCGUGAAGGAUGAAGGUCCUCUGGAUUGUAAACUUCUUUUAUAGGGGACGAAAAAAGGGAAUUCUUUCUCACUUGACGGUACCCUAGGAAUAAGCACCGGCUAACUCCGUGCCAGCAGCCGCGGUAAUACGGAGGGUGCAAGCGUUAUCCGGAUUCACUGGGUUUAAAGGGAGCGUAGGUGGGCAGGUAAGUCAGUGGUGAAAUCUCCGGGCUUAACCCGGAAACUGCCAUUGAUACUAUUUGUCUUGAAUAUUCUGGAGGUAAGCGGAAUAUGUCAUGUAGCGGUGAAAUGCUUAGAUAUGACAUAGAACACCCAUUGCGAAGGCAGCUUACUACGGAACUAUUGACACUGAGGCUCGAAAGCGUGGGGAUCAAACAGGAUUAGAUACCCUGGUAGUCCACGCCCUAAACGAUGGAUACUCGACAUCAGCGAUACACUGUUGGUGUCUGAGCGAAAGCAUUAAGUAUCCCACCUGGGAAGUACGACCGCAAGGU